Molecule: ribosomal RNA, 1325 nt
Filed under: metagenome
Description: bacterial LSU rRNA
Rfam family: Bacterial large subunit ribosomal RNA
Source: RNAcentral
AGUGGAUGGGGAGCAACCUAGUUGUGCGUGUGUAAAGGUAGUGCCAAGAAAAGCGAUGAUCAUGUUGAAAAUCAAUUCCCGGUACCCGAAACCGACACAGGUGGGCAAGUAGAGAAUACUAAGGGGCGCGAGGUAACUCUCUCCAAGGAACUCGGCAAAAUGACCCCGUAACUUAGGGAGAAGGGGUGCCACCGAGAGGUGGUCGCAGUGAAGAGGCCCAGGCGACUGUUUAGCAAAAACAUAGGUCUCUGCAAACUCGAAAGAGGAGGUAUAGGGGCUGACGCCUGCCCAGUGCCGGAAGGUUAAAGAAGUUGGUCAGUUUUAGGAUGAAGCUAGCGACUGAAGCCCCGGUGAACGGCGGCCGUAACUAUAACGGUCCUAAGGUAGCGAAAUUCCUUGUCGGGUAAGUUCCGACCCGCACGAAAGGCGUAACGAUCUGGGCGCUGUCUCGGAGAGAGGCUCGGCGAAAUAGGAUUGUCUGUGAAGAUACGGACUACCUGCAUUUGGACAGAAAGACCCUAUGAAGCUUUACUAUAGCUUGGAAUUGUGUUCGGGCUUCCUGUGCGCAGGAUAGGUGGGAGGCGUAGAAGGUAUUCUUGUGGGGAUACUGGAGCCAACGGUGAGAUACCACUCUCAGGAGGCUAGAAUUCUAACUUAAUUAAGGACAGUUUCAGGUGGGUAGUUUGACUGGGGCGGUCGCCUCCAAAAAGGUAACGGAGGCGUACAAAGGUUCCCUCAGACUGGUUGGAAAUCAGUCGAAGAGUGCAAAGGCAGAAGGGAGCUUGACUGCGAGAAGUACAGUUCGAGCAGGGUGGAAACACGGUCUUAGUGAUCCGACGGUGCUGUGUGGAAGGGCCGUCGCUCAACGGAUAAAAGUUACUCUAGGAUAACAGGCUGAUCUCCCCCAAGAGUUCACAUCGACGGGGAGGUUUGGCACCUCGAUGUCGGCUCAUCGCAACCUGGGGCGGAAGUACGUCCCAAGGGUUGGGCUGUUCGCCCAUUAAAGCGGUACGUGAGCUGGGUUCAGAACGUCGUGAGACAGUUCGGUCCAUAUCCGAUGUAGGCGUGAGAAUAUUGAGAGGAGCCUUCCUUAGUACGAGAGGACCGGGAAGGACGCACCGCUGGUGUACCUGUUAUGAUGCCAAUUGUAAACGCAGGGUAGCCAAGUGCGGAGAGGAUAACCGCUGAAGGCAUCUAAGUGGGAAGCCCACCUCAAGAUGAGUAUUCUGGUGUAAGGUCACGGGAAGACGACCCGUAAAUAGGCACGAGGUGGAAGUGCAGAGAUGUAUGAAGCCGAAGUGUACUAAUAGACCGUCGGCUUGACC